GGGUUGUGAGGUUAAGCGACUAAGCGUACACGGUGGAUGCCCUGGCAGUCAGAGGCGAUGAAGGGCGUGCUAAUCUGCGAUAAGCGCCGGUAAGGUGAUAUGAACCGUUAUAACCGGCGAUACCCGAAUGGGGAAACCCAGUGUGAUUCGUCACACUAUCAUUAACUGAAUCCAUAGGUUAAUGAGGCGAACCGGGGGAACUGAAACAUCUAAGUACCCCGAGGAAAAGAAAUCAACCGAGAUUCCCCCAGUAGCGGCGAGCGAACGGGGAGGAGCCCAGAGCCUGAAUCAGCAUGUGUGUUAGUGGAAGCGUCUGGAAAGGCGCGCGAUACAGGGUGACAGCCCCGUACACAAAAGCGCAUGUGCUGUGAGCUCGAUGAGUAGGGCGGGACACGUGGUAUCCUGUCUGAAUAUGGGGGGACCAUCCUCCAAGGCUAAAUACUCCUGACUGACCGAUAGUGAACCAGUACCGUGAGGGAAAGGCGAAAAGAACCCCGGCGAGGGGAGUGAAAAAGAACCUGAAACCGUGUACGUACAAGCAGUGGGAGCACAGGUUUACCUGUGUGACUGCGUACCUUUUGUAUAAUGGGUCAGCGACUUAUAUUCUGUAGCAAGGUUAACCGUAUAGGGGAGCCGGAGGGAAACCGAGUCUUAACCGGGCGUUAAGUUGCAGGGUAUAGACCCGAAACCCGGUGAUCUAGCCAUGGGCAGGUUGAAGGUUGGGUAACACUAACUGGAGGACCGAACCGACUAAUGUUGAAAAAUUAGCGGAUGACCUGUGGCUGGGGGUGAAAGGCCAAUCAAACCGGGAGAUAGCUGGUUCUCCCCGAAAGCUAUUUAGGUAGCGCCUCGUGAAUUCAUCUCCGGGGGUAGAGCACUGUUUCGGCUAGGGGGCCAUCCCGGCUUACCAACCCGAUGCAAACUGCGAAUACCGGAGAAUGUUAUCACGGGAGACACACGGCGGGUGCUAACGUCCGUCGUGAAGAGGGAAACAACCCAGACCGCCAGCUAAGGUCCCAAAGUCAUGGUUAAGUGGGAAACGAUGUGGGAAGGCCCAGACAGCCAGGAUGUUGGCUUAGAAGCAGCCAUCAUUUAAAGAAAGCGUAAUAGCUCACUGGUCGAGUCGGCCUGCGCGGAAGAUGUAACGGGGCUAAACCAUGCACCGAAGCUGCGGCAGCGACACUUAUGUGUUGUUGGGUAGGGGAGCGUUCUGUAAGCCUGUGAAGGUGUGUCGUGAGGCAUGCUGGAGGUAUCAGAAGUGCGAAUGCUGACAUAAGUAACGAUAAAGCGGGUGAAAAGCCCGCUCGCCGGAAGACCAAGGGUUCCUGUCCAACGUUAAUCGGGGCAGGGUGAGUCGACCCCUAAGGCGAGGCCGAAAGGCGUAGUCGAUGGGAAACGGGUUAAUAUUCCCGUACUUGGUGUUACUGCGAAGGGGGGACGGAGAAGGCUAUGUUGGCCGGGCGACGGUUGUCCCGGUUUAAGCGUGUAGGCUGGUUUUCCAGGCAAAUCCGGAAAAUCAAGGCUGAGGCGUGACGACGAGGCACUACGGUGCUGAAGCAACAAAUGCCCUGCUUCCAGGAAAAGCCUCUAAGCAUCAGGUAACAUCAAAUCGUACCCCAAACCGACACAGGUGGUCAGGUAGAGAAUACCAAGGCGCUUGAGAGAACUCGGGUGAAGGAACUAGGCAAAAUGGUGCCGUAACUUCGGGAGAAGGCACGCUGACACGUAGGUGAAGUGAUUUACUCAUGGAGCUGAAGUCAGUCGAAGAUACCAGCUGGCUGCAACUGUUUAUUAAAAACACAGCACUGUGCAAACACGAAAGUGGACGUAUACGGUGUGACGCCUGCCCGGUGCCGGAAGGUUAAUUGAUGGGGUCAGCGCAAGCGAAGCUCCUGAUCGAAGCCCCGGUAAACGGCGGCCGUAACUAUAACGGUCCUAAGGUAGCGAAAUUCCUUGUCGGGUAAGUUCCGACCUGCACGAAUGGCGUAAUGAUGGCCAGGCUGUCUCCACCCGAGACUCAGUGAAAUUGAACUCGCUGUGAAGAUGCAGUGUACCCGCGGCAAGACGGAAAGACCCCGUGAACCUUUACUAUAGCUUGACACUGAACAUUGAGCCUUGAUGUGUAGGAUAGGUGGGAGGCUUUGAAGCGUGGACGCCAGUCUGCGUGGAGCCGACCUUGAAAUACCACCCUUUAAUGUUUGAUGUUCUAACGUGGACCCGUAAUCCGGGUUGCGGACAGUGUCUGGUGGGUAGUUUGACUGGGGCGGUCUCCUCCUAAAGAGUAACGGAGGAGCACGAAGGUUGGCUAAUCCUGGUCGGACAUCAGGAGGUUAGUGCAAUGGCAUAAGCCAGCUUGACUGCGAGCGUGACGGCGCGAGCAGGUGCGAAAGCAGGUCAUAGUGAUCCGGUGGUUCUGAAUGGAAGGGCCAUCGCUCAACGGAUAAAAGGUACUCCGGGGAUAACAGGCUGAUACCGCCCAAGAGUUCAUAUCGACGGCGGUGUUUGGCACCUCGAUGUCGGCUCAUCACAUCCUGGGGCUGAAGUAGGUCCCAAGGGUAUGGCUGUUCGCCAUUUAAAGUGGUACGCGAGCUGGGUUUAGAACGUCGUGAGACAGUUCGGUCCCUAUCUGCCGUGGGCGCUGGAGAACUGAGGGGGGCUGCUCCUAGUACGAGAGGACCGGAGUGGACGCAUCACUGGUGUUCGGGUUGUCAUGCCAAUGGCACUGCCCGGUAGCUAAAUGCGGAAGAGAUAAGUGCUGAAAGCAUCUAAGCACGAAACUUGCCCCGAGAUGAGUUCUCCCUGAGACUUAGAGUCUCCUGAAGGAACGUUGAAGACGACGACGUUGAUAGGCCGGGUGUGUAAGCGCAGCGAUGCGUUGAGCUAACCGGUACUAAUGAACCGUGAGGCUUAACCUUACAACGCCGAAG
RNAcentral lists this ribosomal RNA (2927 nucleotides) under Salmonella enterica subsp. enterica serovar Bareilly str. CFSAN000968. RNAcentral describes it as "bacterial LSU rRNA". It matches the Rfam family "Bacterial large subunit ribosomal RNA". Lineage: Bacteria; Pseudomonadati; Pseudomonadota; Gammaproteobacteria; Enterobacterales; Enterobacteriaceae. The record is from RNAcentral. RNAcentral also lists the same sequence under 2 other names.